GAGUUUGAUCCUGGCUCAGAGCGAACGCUGGCGGCAGGCCUAACACAUGCAAGUCGAACGGAUCCUUCGGGAUUAGUGGCGGACGGGUGAGUAACACGUGGGAACGUGCCUUUAGGUUCGGAACAACUCAGGGAAACUUGAGCUAAUACCGGAUGUGCCCUUAGGGGGAAAGAUUUAUCGCCUUUAGAGCGGCCCGCGUCUGAUUAGCUAGUUGGUGAGGUAAAGGCUCACCAAGGCGACGAUCAGUAGCUGGUCUGAGAGGAUGACCAGCCACAUUGGGACUGAGACACGGCCCAAACUCCUACGGGAGGCAGCAGUGGGGAAUCUUGCGCAAUGGGCGAAAGCCUGACGCAGCCAUGCCGCGUGUAUGAUGAAGGUCUUAGGAUUGUAAAAUACUUUCACCGGUGAAGAUAAUGACUGUAGCCGGAGAAGAAGCCCCGGCUAACUUCGUGCCAGCAGCCGCGGUAAUACGAAGGGGGCUAGCGUUGCUCGGAAUUACUGGGCGUAAAGGGAGCGUAGGCGGACAUUUAAGUCAGGGGUGAAAUCCCAGAGCUCAACUCUGGAACUGCCUUUGAUACUGGAUGUCUUGAGUAUGAGAGAGGUAUGUGGAACUCCGAGUGUAGAGGUGAAAUUCGUAGAUAUUCGGAAGAACACCAGUGGCGAAGGCGACAUACUGGCUCAUUACUGACGCUGAGGCUCGAAAGCGUGGGGAGCAAACAGGAUUAGAUACCCUGGUAGUCCACGCCGUAAACGAUGAUUGCUAGUUGUCGGGAUGC
Molecule: ribosomal RNA, 776 nt
Filed under: uncultured bacterium
Lineage: Bacteria
Description: bacterial SSU rRNA
Rfam family: Bacterial small subunit ribosomal RNA
Source: RNAcentral